RNAcentral lists this ribosomal RNA (434 nucleotides) under uncultured Blautia sp. Its description in RNAcentral is "partial 16S ribosomal RNA". It matches the Rfam family "Bacterial small subunit ribosomal RNA", at positions 341 to 792 of the family's 1533-position model. Lineage: Bacteria; Bacillati; Bacillota; Clostridia; Lachnospirales; Lachnospiraceae. The record is from RNAcentral.
ACGGGAGGCAGCAGUGGGGAAUAUUGCACAAUGGGGGGAACCCUGAUGCAGCGACGCCGCGUGAAGGAAGAAGUAUCUCGGUGUGUAAACUUCUAUCAGCAGGGAAGAUAAUGACGGUACCUGACUAAGAAGCCCCGGCUAACUACGUGCCAGCAGCCGCGGUAAUACGUAGGGGGCAAGCGUUAUCCGGAUUUACUGGGUGUAAAGGGAGCGUAGACGGAGAAGCAAGUCUGAUGUGAAAGGCAUGGGCUCAACCUGUGGACUGCAUUGGAAACUGUUUUUCUUGAGUGCCGGAGGGGUAAGCGGAAUUCCUAGUGUAGCGGUGAAAUGCGUAGAUAUUAGGAGGAACACCAGUGGCGAAGGCGGCUUACUGGACGGUAACUGACGUUGAGGCUCGAAAGCGUGGGGAGCAAACAGGAUUAGAAACCCUGGUA